This 253-nucleotide ribosomal RNA is filed under the name uncultured bacterium. RNAcentral describes it as "partial 16S ribosomal RNA". It matches the Rfam family "Bacterial small subunit ribosomal RNA", at positions 524 to 776 of the family's 1533-position model. The record is from RNAcentral.
UACGAAGGGUGCGAGCGUUAUUCGGAUUAACUGGGUGUAAAGAGCGUGUAGGCGGUUUGUUAAGUCACCUGUUAAAGAGCUCAGCUUAACUGAGCAAAUGCGGGCGAAACUGGCAGACUAGAGUGCGAGAGAGAAGAGUGGAAUUCUCGGAGUAGCGGUAAAAUGCGUAGAUCUCGAGAGGAACACCGGUUGCGAAGGCGGCUCUUUGGCUCGUAACUGACGCUUAAGUGCGAAAGCGUGGGGAGCAAACAGG